Non-coding RNA from Pelobates cultripes (western spadefoot toad), 230 nucleotides. NCBI's taxonomy places the organism in Eukaryota, Metazoa, Chordata, Amphibia, Anura, Pelobatidae. The record is from the annotation of a GenBank genome assembly.
GUUCUGUAGGAGAAACAGGUGACUUUCUCCCAAGAACCAGGCUAUACAACCCUAGUUGUGCACAGGGUAGAGACCCCUGGACAGACACCCCUGUCUGUCCAUUCAUCUUCCCUAAACCAUUCAUCUUCCCUGAAGCAGUCUGAGAAGGAAUGCGGAAGGAAAUACAGGAGAUGACCCAGUUAGGAGUCAUUGAGCCCUCUGACAGCCCGUGGGCCUCGCCUGUAGUCCUG